UCAAAAGGGAAAACCCUAAAUUUUGUUCCUUUCCUCCUCUAAAAGAAGAGCAGCCGCACCCCUCUCUUCUCACCAAACAACUCCAUCUCCUCCACCUUUCCGAGCCAUUUUCCGGUGAGCUUCCACCACCCAACCAGCCGCCUGAAGCAGCUCUCUCCAACAACAGCCUAAACCUCACCCAUUUCCCCUCCAAAACAACCUUCAAACACCCAACAACAACCGAAAAUGACCAACACCUUCAAACACCUAUUUCACUCUUUUCCGGCAACUCCAUGAACUCCAAACCACCAGACCCACCUCCAUAACCAUCGCUGCUGCCAGCAGCUCAACACCACCAGAUCUUCACCGCACCACUGAUCUUCCGAUGAGCUACAAUAAUCGAAGGUUCAAACUCCGGCGAGGAGCUCAUGAACCGGAGCAACACAACAAGGUCAGGUAUUUUCAUUUUAGUUUCUAAAUUUAGAGAUUUUAUGUUAGGUAGAUAUUAUAUAUAUGAGUUCAUUUUCUUAGAUCUGUUUUUAUUUGUAUUUGCUUGAUUAUAUUUAUUAUAAGUUUGAUUUCAUUGCUUUUGUUUAAGCCUACUUCCGGUGAUUAUGUUACUGUCAUUGUUUAAUUUUGUUGAUUUUCUUAUUGUUGGUUUCUCGCUCGACUUCACUGUUUCAUGAUAUUAAUUUUGUCAUUUUAUGUUCUGAAAGUAAUGUGCUCUUUAUUUGUUUAAGUUAGUUGUAAUUUUUGCAUUUUUGAUAUAUGAAUGUAUGUGAUGGUUUUUUAUUUUAUUUUAUUAUUUUCUCCACUUUCCAAUAACUUUAGAUUUGUAUUGCUGCUCCAUUUGGCUCACAUAUAUUUAGUCUUAAUUAAUUUAUUUGAAUUGAUUUCAUUCACCGUUUAAGAAGAUAUCAACAAAUCUCUCCGUCGAUUUUGGAGGCCUUUACAUUGCAAAAGACGAAAAUUUAGUUUAGUUUCAUAUAUUUUGCGGCUACCUUUUGUUGUUUGUUCUUUUUUAAUAUAUUAUUUUUGUUGUUUGAGUUAAAUUUGGCCAAUGAAAAAAUUUCUCCGUCGAUUUUAGAGGCCUUAAAAUUUUAAAAGACGGAAUUUUAGUUUAAGUUUAUAUAUUUUAUUUGUUAAAAAUGGCCAAUGAAGAAAUUACCAUCGAUUUCUAAGGCCUCUCAUGUUAAUAAGACGGAUGUUUAUUUUAUAGUUAUUGUUUAAUUCAUUUAUUUUAGUCAUAUUUAUUUAGUACUAAUACUUUUACUAAGUGUCUUUACAGGUACCCCGAAGUCGCUUCUCAUCGAAGCCAUUCGAAUAAAAGUUUGAAUGUUAUAUUCAUUAUUAUGUAUAUUGUUGACGAUAAAACAAAUAUUAGGUCGUUUCUCAUAUUACUUGUUUACUUUAUUAUUUGUGUAUAUUGCAUGUUUGUUAUAUUUGUAUAAUAUUUUUUACAUCCUACCUCAAUUUGAAAAAAAUGAAUUCAGUCGGG
Molecule: long non-coding RNA, 1477 nt
Filed under: Solanum tuberosum (potato)
Lineage: Eukaryota; Viridiplantae; Streptophyta; Magnoliopsida; Solanales; Solanaceae
Description: long non-coding RNA (STUB_LNC001736)
Source: RNAcentral